Molecule: ribosomal RNA, 433 nt
Filed under: uncultured bacterium
Lineage: Bacteria
Description: partial 16S ribosomal RNA
Rfam family: Bacterial small subunit ribosomal RNA
Source: RNAcentral
AACGAACGCUGGCGGCAUGCCUAACACAUGCAAGUCGAACGAGACCUUCGGGUCUAGUUGCGCACGGGUGCGUAACGCGUGGGAACCUGCCCUUAGGUUCGGAAUAACUCCCCGUAAGGGGUGCUAAUACCGCAUAAUGUCUUCGGACCAAAGAUUUAUGGCCUUUGGAUGGGCCCGCGUUGGAUUAGCUAGUUGGUAGGGUAAAAGCCUACCAAGGCGAUGAUCCAUAGCUGGUCUGAGAGGAUGAUCAGCCACACUGGGACUGAGACACGGCCCAGACUCCUACGCGAGGCAGCAGUGGAGAAUAUUGGACAAUGGACGAAAGCGUGAUCAAGCAAUGCCGCGUGAGUGAUGAAGGCCUUAGGGUUGUAAAGCUCUUUUACCCGAGAUGAUAAUGACAGUACCGGGAGAAUAAGCUCCGGCUAACUACGUG